Molecule: non-coding RNA, 1054 nt
Organism: Megalopta genalis
Lineage: Eukaryota; Metazoa; Arthropoda; Insecta; Hymenoptera; Halictidae
Source: RefSeq, a predicted model, not a curated record
UGGAAAUCUGUUAAAAAAAAACUUCGCGCAAAAUUGACCUUGACAUCAAGAUCAAAUUUGUUGUUGUUCGUCAAGAGGGACAAUAGUCUUAAAAGAAUCAUGGGUUACAAGUCAACCCUUUACAAAAAAAACGAUGUUAAAAACGAUAUAUAAAAAUCAUGUCGAUGGUUCCAGAGAAAAUUGUGUGCAAAAAUUAAGGUUAGGGAUCCUGUACAUUAUAUACACAUAUGUAUCUGUAUUUAUGUUGACACCUUUUGUUUUAAGUUUGGUGUCUGCAUUUUGUCGUUUAUUGUUUCUCACAUCGACAAUGCAUCACUAUUGAAGGAGAAAUGAAACUGUUCAUAUUACUCUAGAUUUUUUAAUUAAAAGUGUAAUUCUUGAAUUGUCCUGCCAUCAGAAAGCAAUUUCUUACAAAAUGCCAAAAGUUAGAAAAUUGAGUGCGGCAGAACGAGUACAAAUUUAUAAUUGUCGAGCAAGUGGCGAAUCUUUGAAAAAAAUUGCUAUAGACUUCAGCAUUUCAAGAGAAGGUGUAAGAAAGAUAUUUCAAAAAAUAAAUAUUACUCGAAGACUAGAAAAUUUAACUAGAACUAUAGGAAGUAGGAAGCCAACCAAUCAUCAAGAUAGACAAAUAGUUUGAGAAGUUAAAAAAAUCCAUUCCUUCCAUCCUUCAUCCAUUCCUAAUACCAGAAAAUUGAAAGAAAAUUUAUAUUUGCCCAUUAGAAUUAUAUAUGUAUAUCGUGAAAAAGGCCAUAUAUUUCAAAAGUCGAUGCUGCAAAGCGUUUAAGAUUUGCUGAAGAAUAUUAUAAAAAACCAAUUUCGUUCUGGGAAACAAUUAUUUGGAGUUGAUGAAUCCAAAUUUGAAAUGAAAUUAAGUAAAAGAAGAUAAUAUGUAUGGAGGAUGCCCCAUUAUGAUAUAGAGCUGUUUUAAUAACGAUCGAUGCAUAAAAUUGAAAAAAAUAGGUCAUUCGUCUUUCAGCAAGAUAACGACCAGAAGCAUACAUUAAGGAUUACAAAAGAAUUUUUUUUUGCUUCCAUGACCAUCUCAAAGCCUCAA